Molecule: ribosomal RNA, 497 nt
Filed under: uncultured bacterium
Lineage: Bacteria
Description: partial 16S ribosomal RNA
Rfam family: Bacterial small subunit ribosomal RNA
Source: RNAcentral
GAUGAACGCUGGCGGCGUGCCUAAUACAUGCAAGUCGAGCGAACAGACGCGGCUCUUGCUCCUCUGACGUUAGCGGCGGACGGGUGAGUAACACGUGUAUCACCUACCUAUAAGACUGGGAUAACUUCGGGAAUCCGGCUCUAAUACCGUAUAAUAUCUUGCACCGCAUGGUUCAAUAGUGAAAGACGGUUUUGCUGUCACUUCUAGAUGCAUCCGCGCCGCUUUAGCUAGUUGGUAAGUUCACGGCUUACCAAGGCAACGAUGCGUAGACGACCGCAGAGAGGGAUAGGCGACACGGGAAGUGAGACAGGGUCAAGAGGCCUAAGGGAGGGAGCAGUAGGGAAUGGGACGAAAUGGGGGAAAGCAUGACAGAGCAACGGGGCGUGAGAGAUGAAGGUGUUCGGAGCGGAAAAAUCUGUUAUGAGGGAAAAACAAAUGUGGAAGGAAAUAAGGACGGAGUGACGGUAACUAAUCAGAAAGCAACGGCUAACUACGUG